ACAUCAGAGUUCUACUCCUAAUAACAAAUGUUUAAUUUUUAAUGAAAUAUUCAAGCCUCAUGUUUUCCAACAGAACACAAAUGUGACAUGACGCUUCUCCACGGAAGCAACAAGUGUGGGGUUAAGCAGGGAGAACGAAGGUGGUAACAGAGGCCGGUGUCAAGGGAGUGUGAAGGUUUCAGAGAGUGAUUCAUCCUAAAUCCUGCUUCUCCCUAUAUGGCAUGUAAACCCUUCCAGAUUCCUGGAAACUACAUCCUGGUUGUUUAUCUCAGCAAGGUGAGCCGUCGACCGAAGGCUCGUGACCACUAUCUCGAAAAGCAGGCUUUAAGCAGUCUUGAAUUUGAAUCUGAGCUCCUCACUUCUUGGCUUAAGCAUGUCUAUGAAUCUUCUGAGACCAUCUCCUCAUCUGCAAAAUUGGGGACAAGACUUGCUGCUUAUCAAUCUUUGCAGUAGAGGGAAUUCUGUGGCAGGCAGCUAUCAGACUUGAACUGCAAUACCGGCUCUUCCUGGCUUUCCAGCUUGUGGGCCCCGCCUCCAUAAUCAUGUGAACCAUUUCCUUAAAAUCAAUCACCCCCUGUGACUUAUUUAUAUAUAUAUGUAUAUGAUCUGUUUCUCUGGGGAACCCUGACUAAUACAAUGAUCUAAACCAAUUUUCUGUUUUGAUUUUAGCUUUGUAUUACGGCAAUUUGCUAUCUAUCCAAAAAUCAAUAAAAUAGAAUUAAAAACUAAAAAAAAAAAAAAAAAAA
This 746-nucleotide long non-coding RNA is filed under the name Homo sapiens (human). Its description in RNAcentral is "long independently transcribed non-coding RNA 1618 (LINC01618)". The record is from RNAcentral. Lineage: Eukaryota; Metazoa; Chordata; Mammalia; Primates; Hominidae.